AUCUUCCGCGUAGUUCUACAAAUAUUGGGAAGGGGAGCAAUUAAAUGAUGAUGAUUAGUAACUAACAGUUUAAUCAUUGGCUAUAUUUUGUCCCAUAUUUGUCAUUGCAAUAUAAAAGAAACAGAAAAGAAAGCUUACUCCAAUGAUGAUGAGGACCCUUCUCUCUGAAGCACAUAUGUUGCCUCCUAGUGCCUUGAGAAAAAGCCCAAUGAACUCAGGAUUGCCAUAAUAUGUGACCCCAGUAGUUAAAUUAUCAUCAGCAACACACACUGACAAUGUAUCGGGUUCUACCCAGUGAGCACCAGCAGCAACCAAUCCAGGUUUCAUAGUUGAAACCGCGGUGCAUUUGCGACCUUUAACAGCGCCUGCAGGUGCUAAGACCAACAGCCCAUGGCAAAUAGCAGCAAUUGGCUUUCUGGAGUCAGAAAAUUUUCUCGCCAAUUCUACAACGGAUGCCUUCAUAGCAAGAUGUUCAGGAGAUCGUCCUCCUGGUAUAACUAGACCAUCAUAUUUGUCAAAUUCGAUGUCAUCAAAUGUUGCAUUCAGUGUGAAAUUGUGACCACGAGAUUCUUUAUUAGCCUGUAACCAAAAAGGUACACGAAAGAAAACCAAACACAACACACACAUUAAAACAAGAGUAAUGGUUAGGGGAAUUCAAGCUUCUUUGUCUUGCUUGUCUCUCAAACUCAAACUCAUCAGAGGUUGUUUUCCAACAACUGUGUUCAAUAUUAAAUAUAUAAAACAUAUUCCUCUUGUUUACAAAUAAAAAAGAACAGGAAAGACAGGAAAGACAGAGUUUGACCUGGUCAGUGGACUCUACUUGAAUGGUUAUGGCAGUGGCGCAGAUAUCACCAGCUUUCUUGACAGGAGAAACUGCAUCAACAGAGACUCCAAAUGCCUGCAGUGCUUGAAAUGGGACCAUUGCCUCGUAAUCUUCCAUGUAGUCCCCGCACAGUAACAACACCCUCCUCUGCACCUCGCCUUUCGGAUUCCCCAUUUCUUUUCUUAUUUCCUUCUUUAGUUUCUUUCUUCUUUUUCACACAGAGAGAGUUUUCAGAGAGAUUUUUCAGAGAGAAAGAGAGAGGGAGAGAGUCUGAAUACAAGAAGGUAGGUUAUAGCUUGAGCUGCUCCGCUUUGCUUACUUAAAUACUCACAAAAGCGUUUUUGGAGGUUUGUGGAGUCAGCUCGAUACGGUCGCUCGCAAUUUGAGCAACACAUCGCAGUCAGUUAUCGUGGCAUCUCUCUAUUCGCCGCUUCUUUUCAGUUCGGAUAACUAUUCUAUUAGUUUCGAGCCUAUCACCGUCUCCAUGUUUGAUACGUUUUUUUGUUGUCUUCUUUACCGACCAAGUGAGUCUAAAUUAUUGAAACUUGAGUUUGUUCUCUUCACGGACCAAGUGGGUCUAAAUUAUUGGAGGAAGAUUGAAACUUGAGUUUGUUCUCUUCACGGACCAAGUGAGUCUAAAUUAUUGGAGGAUGAUUAAAACUUGCAAAGAGGCGGAUUUAUUCUCUUAUUGUGAAUACAAAUAAUGGUCUAAAUUAUUAGGGAAGUAUUCUAACUUGAGUGCAAAGAGCACAAAUUUAAGUGCAAAGGAGUGGACUCACUGUCUUAUUACGAGUGCAAAUGAUAAUCUAAAUUAUUAGAGAAAUAUUUAAAUUAUAUAGUGCAAAGAAGCGUACUCACUGUCUUAUUGUGAAUAUUCAAAUAUUCGAGCUCAAUGCUUCCUUUUCGAUUGAAAAAAAGAAGAAGCUCAAUGCUUCCAAGCCUAUACUAUAGAAAAGCUCUUUAGAGUCGUCAUCUUCUUCUUCUUGCCUUCAUUGUAGCACGUGUGUGGCCCAAUAGAAAAGCUCAAUGCUUCCAAGCAGGACCGGUCUUGAGAUUUUGAAGGCCCUGUGCAAAACCUUAAAUUGGGGCCUCACAUAAGCUAACACAAACUUACACCAUUAUGUAAUGCCAUACAAUAAAUUUUUUUUUUUUUUCAAGUGAUCAAAGUACCCCUACUCCCAAGGAAAAAAUUGAAAUUUCACAAAAGAAUUAAAUUGGAUUAAAUUGAUUACAUUGAGUCAGAGAUGUUACACCUUUUGAAUAAUCACCAUGAUUGUGACGAUGAGUCUUUGUCAUCAUAGGUCAUACUCAGAUAUUAAAUAUUUUUUAACACCUAAUUUAUUUUGUAUCAAUAUUCCAAGAACAUCAUUAAUUCGAUGCAAUUAUUUUGGUUGACUUAGUUGGAUGCAUUAUUUUUGCGAAAUUGAAUAUCUUAGCAUAAUUAUUGACUAAUUCAUUGUGAUCGGGUAUUUAUUAUUUCCGUUUGUGGUUGUGAAAGUAGAUGGGAUAUUGAAUGUUGGUGUUGACAUCGAACAAGCCUUUAACACAAGCAGAUUUUGAAGUCGAGUCCUGAAUAGAAGUUGAGGCCCUACAAACCAACACAACUAGAAACGUCUUUGUGUCAACAAUUUGCUCACUCUGUAUAUAUAUAACAUUUGUUAUACAUAUAGAGUGCUGCUAUUUCCACCCACUUGUCCUAUUUUCUCACCCACUAUGUAAAUUUGAAAAAUUAAAAUCCUACUUUUCCACCCAACAUUAUUCCUAAAAAACCCUUUAAUUAUUAAUUCGACCAAACACCAUCAACUCCAAGUUAAAAACAUAAAAAUUUUAAUCCAAAAAAAAAAAAAACAUUUUUCAUCUUCUUCAUGUGUUUUCAACAUCACGACCUUACCCUACCAUAUUAAUAUUCUCAUAAACCCCUUAGCAGUACUGGUGGCUUCACGACCACGACACCACCACCACAACAACAUACAACCAACAAGACUACAAUGGAUUUUUAAUUGAAGUGAUGUUAUAUGGAAUAAGGACCCGUAUGUGGGUUAAUCAGACUAAAAAAUCUUUAAAAUGGAAUAAAAUUAUAGGACAAUUUGGCCUCUAUUAUCAACACCUACCAACCCUGACACAAUAUUAAAGGUGGAGUUGAGAAUUUGAUUUGAAUUUUUUUUUAAAAACUUUUCAAAUGAUUGAGAUGGGUAGAUCAAUGCUCGCUGAAUUUGUUGAGGCCAGGAAGAUGGAAAGAAUAUGGAGAGUAAAAGAAAAAAUUUAUUUUCUUUUUAAAAUUUGUUUUAUUUUUAGGGUUUUAGAAGUCAUUUUACAUAGGGAUAAAUUUGUCUUUAAAUUUUUUAAAAUAAGGUGGGUGGAAAAAUAUGAGGUGGGUGAAAAUAGCUGUACUCUACAUAUAUUAUACACAUGAAAAAAAAUUGGGGCCCCUAAAAAAUUAAGGGCCCUGUGCCGUGGCACCACUUGCACACCCUCAGGACCACCCCUGCUUCUAAGCUAAUGUCCCUAUACUAUAUUAAAGCUCUUUAGAGUCCUCAUCUUCCUCUUGCCUUCAUUGUAGCACGUGUGUGGCCCAAUAGAAAAGCUAAUGUCCCUAUACUAUAAGGACCAUGCGGAUAAAUAAAUGUAAUGUUUAUCUCUGACAGGUCAUGCUUUUUGAGCCGUGAUAUUUUUGGAAUAGCGUUCGCGUGCAUUUUACCUGGACUGCCAUGUUGAUUUUCACCAGAGCAGCAAAGCUGCUUGCUUUGUGUUAUGAGGUCUGGUUUUGUUAACAAACUAUAUUGCUUGACCUAGAAGAAAAUGCAAUAUCAUGUGGAUCCUCAUUUCGCAGUUGCAUGAGGAUGGUUGUGAAAAUACAAGAGCUAAUUCUGGACAACAUGAUAUUUGUGGGAGCGAUUUCUUCCCACGAGAAUAUUCAAUUGAAAGAUUUCUCUUUCAUCUUCGCCGCCCCUUUCUCAUUGCAAAAUAGAUCGAAACAAGAGGACCACACUCGUGAGGUGUUGGCCAAAAGCCCUCAGAUGCCUAAGUUAGUUCAAUUGAUUCGUAGAGAAAACAAUAGCUAAAUAGGGUACGGAGAUAUAUAUAUAUGUAAGGUGAAAACCGGAUGGCCGGAGCCGUGAGUGGUGGUCGGAGCCUUGUGUAAAAGGAAGAGAGAGUAUGGCGGCUAAGGUUUGUGAGGGAUAAUUUCUGCAGAGUUUCAGUAAGAAUUUAGACGUACCUAAACCCUUGUACGUAGCCAUUUAUUUACAGGGGCCUCAGAGGCUAGGGUUUUAGAGGAAUAAUUCCGCAUAUGGAAAUGAAUUAUUCCUCCCUGAUUUGGCGAGAUUGGCUUAAUUAGGGAUUUGAAUGUAGGAAUCAAAUCAAUCCCAAUUAAAUUAGCAACUCUGGUUGGCCAUGCCACGCUGCUGCGGUAACCAGAUUUACAUCAGUGACACAACGAUCUAUUGGAUUCGCUUCCGCAAACGUCCCCCCUGACACAACCACAUGAGCCUUAAUCCCUGGGUAUCCAGUAAAUUUCUUCCCCUGAAAUAUAGCCAAUUAAACCAAUUAUGUCAUGUUAAAAAGUGCCUAAUCAAGAAAUAAGUACAUUAACCACUAAUCAAAAGAAACAGAAAAAAUAUUAUCUCGUUUGCGAUUUUAAAGAGUACUCACCUCCUUCUUCCCAAUAGUUAUUUACAAUUGAGAGGUUAAUAGGUCACAACAGAUCAGCUCAACAGAACCGAAAUACAAAGCACUAGAUGUAACCUUUUUUACUUCCUUUUCAAGUUCAAUCGAUAAAGUAUUUCAAUCUGUUUUACUUUAUCUUUAAUAAGUAGCAUUAAAACUGGAAGCAUUAUAUUAAUGUUUUAGUGACAAACGUUUAACCACUAAAAUGCAGGUAGGAUAUAUGUUUUUUCUUUAAGACCAUACCUGCAGAACACCAGCAGCAACUAAAAUUUCCAGGCCAUGGCAGAUGGAUGCAAUUGGUUUCCUGGCUUCCAUAAAUUGUUUCGCUAGUACAAUAACAUCCUCAUUUAGUGACAAAACCUCUGGAUCUUUUCCUCCAGGGAGUACAAGAGCGUCGUAACUUGAGGCAUCUACGGAUUCAAAGUCAGCUGUUAAAACAAAAUUUUGUCCCUGCGUUUCACUGCAGGUUUGGGCCCCUUCAAGAUCACGGAUAGCAGUUGGGCAGGUAUCACCGGCUUUCUUCUUGGGGCAAACCACAUCAACAUGGCAUCCUAGAACUUUAAGGGUCUGAUAAGGCACAGUUACCUCAUAAUCUUCCACGUAGUCCUACAAAUAUUACAAAUAUUGGGGAGGGGAGCAAUUAAAUGAUAAUGAUUAGUAUCUAACAGUUUGAUCAUUGGCUAGAAGCCUAAAACCAUGAACUUGUCGUGGCGAAACUGGUAAAGCCGACUCGGGCUUUCUCCCCUUUCUCUUUUAAUAAUAUUAAGGUUGGUUGUCACUUGAACUUGAGCAUACUAUUUUGUCCUAUAUAUGUCAUUGCAAUAUUAAAGAAAAAGAAAAGAAACCUUACUCCACAGAUGAUGAGGACCCUUCUCCCAGAACCAGAUAUGUUGCCUCCUAGUGCCUUGAGAAAAAGCCUAAUGAACUCAGGAUUGCCAUAAUACGUGACCCCAGUAACUAUAUUAUCAUCAACAACGCCCACUGACAAUGUAUCGGGUUCUACCCAGUGAGCACCAGCAGCAACCAAUCCAGGUUUCACAGUUGGAAACGCUGUGCACUUGCGACCUUUAACAGCGCCUGCAGCUGCUAAGACCAACUGCCCAUGGCAAAUAGCAGCAAUUGGCUUUCUGGAGUCAGAAAAUUUUCUCACCAAUUCUACAACCGAUGCAUUCAUAGCAAGAUGUUCAGGAGAUCGUCCUCCUGGUAUAAGUAGACCAUCAUAUUCGUCAAAUUCAAUCUCAUCAAAUGUUGCAUUCAGUGUGAAAUUGUGACCACGAGAUUCGGUAUAAGCCUGUAACCCAAAAAGGUACGUACGUCCGUACAGAAAACCAAACCAAACACACACAUUAAAACAGGAGUAAGGGGAUACAAAAUAAAUAAAUGAACAGGAAAGACAGAGUUUGACCCGGUCAGUGGACUCCACUUUAAUGGUUAUGGCUGUGGCGCAGAUAUCACCCGCUUUCUUGCCAGGAGAAACUGCAUCAACAGAGACUCCAAAUGCCUGCAGUGCUUGAAAUGGGACCAUUGCCUCGUAAUCUUCCAUGUAGUCCCCGCACAGUAACAACACCCUCCUCUGCUCCUCGCCUUUCGGAUUUCCCAUUUCUUUUCUUAUUUCCUUCUUUAGUUUCUUUCUUGCUUUUUCUUUCUUCUUUCUUCUUUCUUCUUUUUCAGAGAGAGAGAUGGUCUAAUAAAGGAAGGAAGGCCUGCUUUAAAUACUAAUACUCACACAAGCGUUUUUGGAGGUUUGUGGAGUCAGCUAGACACGUCGCAGUUAGUUAUCGUGGCAUCUCUUUCUAUUCCUCUCUUCUUUUCAGUUCGGAUAACUAUUCAAUGAGUUUCGAGCCAAGUUUGAUAUUCUCUGUUGUCUUAUAAUUAUUCGAGGAAGAUUCAAACUUGUAAUGUUUAUCUCUAACAGGCAUGGACAAUAAAUGUAAUGUUUAUCUCUAACAGGUAUGGAUAGUUUCGAAUAGCGUGCGCGUUGAUUGUACCUCGACUGCCAUGUUGAUUUUCACCAACGCAGCAAAGCUGCUUGCUUGGUGUUAUGAGGUCUGGUUUUGUCAACAAACUAUAUUAAUUGACCCAAAAGAAAAUGCAAUAUAAUGUGGAUCCUCAUUUCGCAGUGACAGGAUGGUUGUGAAAUACAGGCUAACUUUGGGCAACAUGAUAUUCAAAAGAAAAUUCAAUAUCUUGUCGAUCCUCAUUUUGCAGUUACAGGAUGGUUGUGAAAGUAUAAGCUAACUCUGGACAACACGAUAUUCAAAAGAAAAUGCAAUAUCUUGUCGAUCCUCAUUUCCCAGUUGCAGGAUGGUUGUGAAAGUAUAAGCUAAUUCUAGACAACUGAUAUUCAUUCAGGUAAAACUUCGAGGUGUACGAUGAGAGAGAGAGAAACCAAGGGGGCCGAUGACUAAUAAAGCAUAAGUAGUAUAAUACAAGCUUCAUCCACAACCAAACUUGCAUGGAACAUGGCAUAUACAUAUCGAGACCAGAAUCAUUUGUUCCCUCAUAUAUACAAACGUCACCUUAACAUAACACAACAUACAUGCCUUAUUCUUUCAUGAAUUACAUAUAGUACAUGCAAGCAGCUGACCCAAUAAACAGCAAAUGAUACUCGAAUAUCAAGCAAUGUCAUCAACUGAGAAAUGAACUCUGGGUUGCCCAGUCCAAAUUUCCAUCUGUGAAGCAAUGAUCUAUUGGAUCAGGUUCCAGCCAUGUUGCUCUUGACAAAACCGCAUUAAGCUUCACCGCUGGAUACGCAGUACAUUUCUUUCCCUAAAAUGAAGCAUACCACCAAAACAUUGAAAAUACACAUAGGAAUGAAUGAUGGAACCCUAUCACACCAGAAUUGUGGCAAAUCUGGUGAAGCCUAUUCAGGUUAUUUUCACUAUAUAUCUUUCAGAAGUAUCUGUAAUGGGGCAAAUCUCCAUCAAUUCUCUUCUUUUCACUUUAUCUUUAUGCCCAUUCAUGCAUGUACAUAUUAUAGGAAGAAGUUUUUGACAUAUGGCAUGUAUUGUGUGUCAAAUGUAUACCGAUUCAUGAAGACAGGUUCAACAGCACAUACACCAUUUUGACCUUAUUCAUUUAUUUUUGUUUAUUCUGGGUUACUGCAAUUUGAAUCACAUUAAAAAACAAAUACUGAACAGUGAUAUAUUCAAUAUUGAUUGGCAUCACAACUUCAUAUUUCUCAUUGCACUACGAAGGAAAAUAAAAAUUACCCCACAGAGAAACAGGAUCCUCCUAUCUGAACCAGUUAUGUUACUUCCUAUAGUGCCUUCAAAAAAGACUAAUGAACUCAGGAAGGCCUUCAUAUGUAGCCCCAGUUAUUAUAUUACCAUCAACAACACACGCCACCAUGGUCACGGGCUCCACCCAAUAAGCACCUGCAGGCUGCAGCAACAAGUACAGGUCUGACAGCUGGGAAGGCCGUUAUAUUUUAAAGGCAUCGCGGCGGAGCUAUACUCUAUAAUCAAAAUAGAAAAUCUAAAACGUAUAGCCGUUCGGCUAUACUCUAUAAAUAUAACUCCAUAAAUAGAAUAUCAUAAACAUAUAGCCGCGCGGCUAUAUGCGAUAAAUAGAAUAUUUCAAACGUAUAGCCGAUUGGCUGUACCCUAAAAUAGAACAUUUUAAAAGUAUAGCCGAUCGGCUGUACUCUAUUAGAAGAUCUUCAAAAAAUACAGAAAACCCAAAAACAUUUUAAAACAAAGGGGGACCAGAAAGACAUAUAUAGCAUUUGAAGAUUUGUAAAUUAAACACAGAUAAGAUUAUUUUCACUUAGAGACGAAGGCACUAAUGCAAUUUUGUUUAUUGAAUAUGGUGUACGCAGUGACGUUGGAGCCAAGAAUUUGUUCACGCUGUCUUUUCCCCAGAACUCAAAGCUCAAUACAGGUCGGUUCUCUAGCUCAUAAUGAAUGAGCAAAGCACUCUAACAAAACUCCUAACAUGUGUUCUUGUUUGAGCUUACUUUAGUCUCGCUGUCCACACAACCUAGAAACUAUGACCUACGGAUUGCUAUUUGUCAAUCUAAUAGAGUGGCUCUAAUCAACAGUAAAACUUAAUUCAUUUUGUCUAUUAUUAACGCUACCAACCACUGGCUGAUGCAAAAACCUAAACUUGUAAACUUGACAAACUUAUUUCCAGUCCCAACAUAUUCCAAAUUUUAGAGGAGGCAGCAUAAUCCCAUAUGUGAGAAUUGUAAGCACUUCAAUCUUUGAGACAAAUUUCUUGUUUUGGGUUUACAAAUUCAAGUGAAGUAAGCAUUCAAUCUUCAAUCCAAUUGAGUGUGCUUGAUUACAGAGCAUGGAAAGACCAAUUGACAGUGCUCAAAUGAUGUAAUGAGGCUAAAGAAUAAAUUUUUAUCAUAUAAUCAUUAAAUAUGUUCACUAAAAGAUGUGUCAUCGUUAUAUGUAAAAUUUUUAGAAAUAUAUAAACUAGCUAGGAUUUACGUGAAUUCGAAUUUGAAUACAUGAAAUAUUAUUACCUACUACAUCAUUUGAUGAACAGAUUUGAUGUUCCUAACAAUUCUAUGCGUACUAGUAAAGUACUUUGUCUUUAAUUUGGAAGUACCCGAAAGCAUAAUGUUUUUCAUAUAUUAUCUGGCAGGAGGCAAUUCAAGAAAAAAAGCCAUCAUUAUUGGAGUCGUAGUUGGAGGUGUAGGUCUUUUUAUUCUCAUUGUUGGAGUUUUUCUCUAUUUUAAACUUUCAAGAAAGCCCGAGGCUGCAACAACCACAGAAUUCGAAGUUGCACUUCCUCUUGCAUAUAUACUAUUACAGUCAUGAUUUCUUGGAUUACAAGUACAAGGGUUUAAGAGAUUUGUGAUCACUCACCGUUGGAUGUAAAUUCAACGGUUCACUCACUCUUGCACUUCUUUUAAGAAAUUUUUUUGAACCAUUGGAUUAAUAUCUAACGGUGGGUGACCACAAUCUCUUGGACUCCUGUAUUCCAAGAGAUCGGAUUGUAUACUAUAAGUCCUGAUCUCUUAGACUACAAGAGUACAAGAGAUUUGUGGUCACUCACCGUUGGAUAUAAAUUCAACGGUUCACUCAUUAUUGCACUCCUUUUAAGAAACUUUUUUGAACCAUUGGGAUUAAUAUCCAACCGUAAGUGACCACAAUCUCUUGGACUCCUGUAGUCCAAGAAAUUUGUGGUCACUCACCGUUGGGAUGUAAAUUCAACGGUUCACUCACUCUUGCACUCCUUUUAAGAAACGUUUUUGAACCAUUGGAUUAAUAUCCAACAGUGGGUGACCACAAUCUCUUGGACUCCUGUAGUCCAAGAGAUCGGGACUGUAUACUAUUAGUCCUGAUCUCUUGGACUACAAGGGUCCAAGAGAUUUGUGGUCACUCACCGUUGGAUGUAAUUCAAUUAGCUCAUGCUCUAACCAUGUAUAUAUAUAAACAUAAAAAAUUUAAAAAAAUUUGGUAUUAGACAUAAUUAUCUUUACUAAUUAGUAUUCGAGAUAAACAAUAUUUAUGUUUUAGUUUUAAUACAUAGGAAUUGAAUUUUGUUUUGGAUUUGGACAAAGAGGAGGCCCAGAUUCAUUAGCCCACCUUAUAUUAAUCACUAAUUUUAAUUUAAAAACCUGACUCAAAUUCAUUGGUUUACCUUUUUUUUAAGAGUGCUACUAAACGAACCCUAACAUUAACUGAGUACACCCUAUGAUCUAAGUACACCCUGAUAUUUUAAUUUAAAUGUAAAAUUAACUAAGCACACCCUAUAGAACUACCAAAAAUAUCUCUGGUACACCAUAAUAUUUGUAGCAUUAUUUUAUAGUUGAUUUUUAGCUUGAUUUUUUUAAUAGUGUUUAUAAAUCUUUGACUUUUCAUAUGGAUUUAUGCUUCUACUAAAAUUGUUGACACUUUUUUUGCAAUUUCAAGUUCUUGCAAUCACCACCUCUUUCGUUAAUAAUGAUUUUUUUAUGCAUGUUUCAGUUAUAUACUACUAUGCUACUGUGAAAUUUAUUUGUUCUCAACGAAGUUAAAAACAAGCUAAACAAAUAGAGACACUUUCGCAAAAGACACCUCGUUUGUGAUAAAUUCGUUUUUGUAGUCUAAAACACAUUGUUUAUUGAUGUCGGUGUCUUGCUUAGAUACAUCUUCUAGAUGCUGUAAAAAAAAAAACCUCAUAUUUGUCAUUUUUCGGUACACAUGCUUUAGCCUAAACCAAAAAAAAAAAUCAAAGUUAAUACCUCUUUUGAUGACUUCCUCAAAAUAUAUGAAGCAUCCAUUCCAAAAUUUCAAAAGUAACCCAACUUGCAAAUCUGCAUAAAAACAUAAGAGAAAAACAAUAAGAAAGGUGCAUGAGUGGCAAACGAAAGUCACUGCAAACUUCAUCAAAUUGGCCCUAGUAGUACUAAUUAAGAUAUUUUUAAUCAUACACGCUCACAAGCCAGAAAAACUAAGUCCUAAAAGAGGGAUGAAGAUGCUGCCACCACAAUUUUCAUUCAUGUUGUUAGUGAACUAGGCAAAAGUAAUAUGCAUAAAUUCUAUUUUUACAGUAUAUAAGUCAAUUCACCAUAAUAUUUUUUUGACAACUUAUUGGAUUGUCAGGAAUUCAAUGAUCAAUCAGGCCUUCACAUAAUCUCCACCGCUGCACUUCCUUUUGGACCUUGAGAAGAAGCAGAUUUGAGCCCAAGUCUUCUUCUGCUUAGCAGGUUGUGCUUUAACUUCUCUUUUCACGACAAGCUCAAUCAUGUAUUGAACAACAGCCUAAGAUUAUAUUUGCUCCAAACCAUUCUGACUCGCAGAUCACAAAGAUGAGAACCAAAUAAUCUCUUGAGUAGGGUUGAAUACGAUUAGUAGGGUGUACUUAUUAAAAUUAUAUUUGUUUCACAAUUUCAUAUAUCAUUUUUGGUCAUUUUAUAUUAGAGUAAAUCAGUAAUUCAAUAUAUGCUUUUGUAGUAGGGUGUACUCAGUUAAUUUUAGGGUUCGUUUAGCAGCACUCUUUUUUAAUCAUAUCAGAUCUGCUAUCAUCAAUCCAAGAUCAAGAGACCGAUCUGCGAUGCAAUUCUCAACCAUCUCCCUCCUCUACCCAACCCCCCCCCCCCAACCCCCCAAAAAAAAGGUUUGGGAAAGUCCCAAAAACUAAAAAACAGAUUUCUUCAGAUACAAAAAAAUUUAAAAAAAGAGGAGAGGAUAUGAAAGACGCAGAAAAUCGNNNNNNNNNNNNNNNNNNNNNNNNNNNNNNNNNNNNNNNNNNNNNNNNNNNNNNNNNNNNNNNNNNNNNNNNNNNNNNNNNNNNNNNNNNNNNNNNNNNNNNNNNNNNNNNNNNNNNNNNNNNNNNNNNNNNNNNNNNNNNNNNNNNNNNNNNNNNNNNNNNNNNNNNNNNNNNNNNNNNNNNNNNNNNNNNNNNNNNNNNNNNNNNNNNNNNNNNNNNNNNNNNNNNNNNNNNNNNNNNNNNNNNNNNNNNNNNNNNNNNNNNNNNNNNNNNNNNNNNNNNNNNNNNNNNNNNNNNNNNNNNNNNNNNNNNNNNNNNNNNNNNNNNNNNNNNNNNNNNNNNNNNNNNNNNNNNNNNNNNNNNNNNNNNNNNNNNNNNNNNNNNNNNNNNNNNNNNNNNNNNNNNNNNNNNNNNNNNNNNNNNNNNNNNNNNNNNNNNNNNNNNNNNNNNNNNNNNNNNNNNNNNNNNNNNNNNNNNNNNNNNNNNNNNNNNNNNNNNNNNNNNNNNNNNNNNNNNNNNNNNNNNNNNNNNNNNNNNNNNNNNNNNNNNNNNNNNNNNNNNNNNNNNNNNNNNNNNNNNNNNNNNNNNNNNNNNNNNNNNNNNNNNNNNNNNNNNNNNNNNNNNNNNNNNNNNNNNNNNNNNNNNNNNNNNNNNNNNNNNNNNNNNNNNNNNNNNNNNNNNNNNNNNNNNNNNNNNNNNNNNNNNNNNNNNNNNNNNNNNNNNNNNNNNNNNNNNNNNNNNNNNNNNNNNNNNNNNNNNNNNNNNNNNNNNNNNNNNNNNNNNNNNNNNNNNNNNNNNNNNNNNNNNNNNNNNNNNNNNNNNNNNNNNNNNNNNNNNNNNNNNNNNNNNNNNNNNNNNNNNNNNNNNNNNNNNNNNNNNNNNNNNNNNNNNNNNNNNNNNNNNNNNNNNNNNNNNNNNNNNNNNNNNNNNNNNNNNNNNNNNNNNNNNNNNNNNNNNNNNNNNNNNNNNNNNNNNNNNNNNNNNNNNNNNNNNNNNNNNNNNNNNNNNNNNNNNNNNNNNNNNNNNNNNNNNNNNNNNNNNNNNNNNNNNNNNNNNNNNNNNNNNNNNNNNNNNNNNNNNNNNNNNNNNNNNNNNNNNNNNNNNNNNNNNNNNNNNNNNNNNNNNNNNNNNNNNNNNNNNNNNNNNNNNNNNNNNNNNNNNNNNNNNNNNNNNNNNNNNNNNNNNNNNNNNNNNNNNNNNNNNNNNNNNNNNNNNNNNNNNNNNNNNNNNNNNNNNNNNNNNNNNNNNNNNNNNNNNNNNNNNNNNCCCCCCCCCCCCCCCCCCCAAAUAACACUGUUCGGACCAUCCUCAACACCCCAACACACGUCGCCCUCAAGUCCGAAGAACUUAUAAGAAUGGAGCAGGAAUUGAUAGUCCGCGAAAUCGAAAUGCGGAAAGCCAAAGAGGAUCUCAACCGUCGGAUUCACAAUGAUCAGGUCGCGAGGGAGAUCAUGAAGAUUCCAUAGGACGAGUGGCAAGAGUCUGGCCAACUCUUCGCCAAACCCUUCGGUGUAGGCUCCUCCUCAUCGUCGUCGACGAAGAGGGUCAAGAGUGAAAGAGUGUUCUAUCAGAUUGGUCAAAAAAUAAUACUUCAUUUAUCUUAAUAUAUAACAAAUAGGAAGGUUAUAUAUACAAAGCCUAGGAAACUAUUCUAGGAAAGUAAUUAUGUUCCUAUAAUCUUGCAUAAUCAAAUAGUUGACUUAGACUAAUUAGGAAUGUACAGCUCAUUGACACUCCCCCUCAAGUUGGAGCAUAUAUGUCGUCAAUGCCCAACUUGCUAAAUGAGCUGUGAAAUACCCUGCCUGUGACUGCUUUGGUAAGGACAUCUGCAAGUUGAUCUUCGGAUUUAACAAAUGAUACCUUAAUGAUCUUUGCCUCGAGCUUCUCCUUGAUGAAAUGUCUGUCAACUUCAACAUGCUUGGUUCUAUCAUGUUGCACUGGAUUAUGUGCAAUGUCUAUUGCAGCUUUGUUGUCACAAUUCAGUUGCAUGGCAUGUUUGGGUUUGAACCCCAAUUCCUCCAACAAAUUCCUUAUCCAGAGUAGCUCACAUACUCCGUGCGCCAUACCUCGAUAUUCUACUUCAGCACUUGAUCUUGACACUACUUUCUGUUUUUUACUUCGCCAAGAUACUAGAUUGCCUCCUACAAAGGUAAAGUAUCCAGAUGUAGAUCGCAUGUCAGUAACAGAGCCCGCCCAGUCUGCAUCAGUGUGACCCUCAACAUCUAGAUGACCAUGUCGUGCGAACAUCAAUCCUCUUCCAGUAGAUGACUUCAAGUAUCUCAAAAUUCGGUUUACCGCAUCCAUGUGGGCUUCACUUGGUGCAUGCAUGAACUGACUCACCAUACUUACAGCAUAUGCUAUAUCAGAUCUAGUGUGUCCUAGAUAGAUUAACUUACCCACAAGGCGUUGAUAUCUUUCUUUGUUGGUGGGUACUUGAUCAGGAUAUUCACCAAGCUGAUGAUUCAACUCCAUUGGCGUAUCUGCUGGUUUGCUGGCUAACAUUCCAGUGUCAGUCAAAAUGUCAAGGAUAUAUUUCCGUUGUGAUAGAAAUAUUCCUUGUUCUGAACGAGCCACUUUGAUGCCUAGGAAAUACUUCAGAGCACCAAGAUCUUUCAUUUCAAACUCACUUGCCAAGUGGUGCUGCAAUGCUGCCUUUUUCACUAGGUCAUUCCCGGUAACUACCAUGUCAUCAACAUAUACAAUAAGGGCAGUGACAUUACCUUUCUUAUGUUUCAAGAAAAGAGUAUGAUCUGAGUUACUUUGCUUGUAUCCAAAAUCCUUCAUUGAUUUGCUGAACUUGUCAAACCAUGCUCUGGGUGACUGCUUCAAGCCAUAAAGAGACUUUCUCAGUUUACACACCAUGUUGCUAGUAUUGGGCCCCAUCUUGCAUCCUGGAGGGGAAUCCAUAUAGACUUUUUCUUCUAGGUCGCCGUGCAGGAAGGCAUUUUUGACAUCAAACUGGUGUAAUGGCCAGUUUAGGUUUGCUGCCAGAGAAAAAAGUACUUGAAUUGUGUUUAUCUUGGCUACAGGGGCAAAUGUUUCCCUAUAGUCAAUCCCAUAAGUCUGAGUAUAACCUUUCGCCACCAAUCUUGCUUUGUAUCGUUCAAUGGUGCCAUCUGCCUUGAAUUUUAAUGUAUAUAUCCAUCUACAACCCACUGUUCUCUUUCCUUUGGGAAGGAUAGUCAUCUUCCAAGUGGAAUUCUUCUGGAGGGCCUCCAUUUCAUCAUUCAUCGCUUGAGUCCACUUGGGAUCUUUCAGAGCUUCCUACACAUUACUUGGAAUAGAUACAGUGGAUAAUUGACAUACAAAUGAUGCACAUGACGGAGACAACCUAUGUAGGGACACAUGAUUAGCAAUAGGGUAUUUAACUUUUGUUUUUGGGUCCGGGUCAUACUGUUGUCUAGGAAUCCCUCUAGUGGUACGAAUAGGUAACUGAUAACCUGUGUUUCCUGUAUGACUCGACUCAUGUAAAGUACUUAAGUUGGAGUUUAAAUGCUCAGUUACCUGCGGGGAAUCUUCAGGACCUGAUUGGAUGAUUGGUGAUGGUACUGUAGUUGGAGGGAAAUUAUCUGAACCAUCAUCUGGAGUUUCUAGUAACUCUUGAUCUUGUUGCACUACUGUAGCUGGUUGCUCGGAUACUGACUGCUCUAAAAUAGUUUGUUGAAUUUGGAUGCUCUGAGUAUCUUCUGCAAAGAUAGAGCUCUCCCCCUGCAGAGGAUGCUCAGAAACUCCCCCUGAGUAAUAGAACUCACUCUCGUGGAAAGUCGCAUCUGCGGUAACAUGCAUGGUCUGAGUGGGAUGAUGGAAACACUUAUAGCCCUUCUGAGUGUCAGCAUAACCCACAAAGACACAACGCAGUGCACACGGAUCAAGCUUGCCACGCUGAUGUGGAUACACCUGAACAUAAGCAACACAACCAAAGAGACGUGGUUCGAGAUUUGGUGUGGAUGGCAUGGUGAGGAGAGUGGUCAAUGUCUGAAAUGGAGUUUGAUACUGAAGAGUGCUGGAUGGGGUUUUAUUAAUGAGGUAAGCAGCAAAACAAAGAACCUCCCCCCAAAAAUGAUGAGGCAUACGGGCCUCAAAUAAAGAGGCACGAACAACCUCCAAGAGAUGACAAUUCUUACGCUCUGCGACGCCAUUCUGUUGUGGUGUAUAGGCACAUGUGGUUGAUGAACAAUUCCAUGUUGACUUAAAAAAAUUAUAUAGGUCUUGGUUGACAUACUCUCCUCCAUUGUCAGAUCGAAGCAUGGUGAUUUUCUUGUCAAACUGAGUAGCAACAUAUUGAUAAAAUAACUUGAAUUUGGCGGUGACUUUACUUUUCUGCUUUAAGGGAAAAACCCAGGUCAUCCGGGUGCAAUCAUCAAUAAACGUCACAAACCACUUAAAACCGCUAAUAGUAGGAACUCGUGAUGGUCCCCAAACAUCAGAAUGGACAAUCAUGAAAGGCAAAGAACUUUUAUUCAAUCUUAAUGGGUAAGAAAUACGAUGACUUUUGGCCAAAAUGCAAGUUUCACAAUGAAAGUCUGAUUCAGCAAACUGGGAAAAUAAAUCUGGAAAUAAAAGUUUCAGAUGACCAAAAGAAGCAUGCCCUAAUCGUCUAUGCCAUAGCCAAAUUUUCUUCAUCCUGAUAGACUCAUCUCCUCUCACAUGAUGUGUCUGACUCAAUCUUGUACUGCUGUCUUCUGUCAAGUCCAGAUAAUACAACUUUCCCCUCCUAGUACCACAUCCAAUCACGGUCCUGGUGAGAAGAUCCUGAAAUAGACAAUACAAUGGCCAAAAACACAUAGUACAAUUAAGGGAAUCAAUGAUUUGAGGAACAUAUAACAAGUCAUAGUCGAGUGAAGGGACAACUAAGACAUGAUCAAGACUUAAUGAAGAUGUAAGAGAUAAAGACCCUUCUCCCAUAACUUGGGAGGUGGUUCCAUUGGCACUGGUAAUAUGUGUUUGGCUUGAUGGUUUGGUAGAGUGCAACCCAGUAAAACUAGAUGUCAUGUGAUCAGUAGCGCCAGUGUCAAUAAUUCAUGAUCUAUUACAAAUAAGUGAAGAUGUGCAAGAGGUACCUGAGGUGGCCAAGGCCUUGGAGCCAGAUGUACCUGAUGGAGGUUCUGAUGCAGUCUCCUUGGAUGACUGAGCGGAUGCAAAUGAGGCUCUGGUAGAAUCCUUUUUUCGCCCUUUGUGGACCCAUCCUUCUGGAUAACCAAUGAUCUCAUAACAGCCCUUAAUUGUGUGGUUAUCUAAACCACAUUUGGUACACUUCAUUGGAGGCCAGUUACAAGUAGGGUCGACACUAUAGUUGUUCGGCCGAGAUUGUUUGGACCUCGCAGUAGCCAAGGCCGUGGCUUCAGAGGUUACACCAACUUCAGACAUGGUUCCCUGUCGGUUACUUUCUCUUUUAAUAUGUGCAUAUGCGGCCUCCAAUUCGGGUUUUGGCUCCAUCCGCAAAAUCUCUCCUCGGAUUUGAUCGAAAUUAUUGUCCAAACCUGCAAGAAAUAUAUAAACUCGGAGACGAUCAACCUCUUUGCGUCUAGUCUCAAUGUCUUUCGGAUGCUCCAUGGUGCUUGGACUUAAUUGAUCAAGCUCCUGAAAAAUCUCAGUGAGCUCACUGUAAUAUUUGGCAACUGAUGCGCCAGCUUGCUUCAUUAUUAAUGACCAUCUGUGAAGGUCAUAAAUCUUGGCUUCAUCAGCACCAUUUGAAUAGGUUUGCUUGAUUGCGGCCCAAACUUGCUUUGCUGUGUCAUAACGAAUAAAUCGUUUAAUCUGAUUAGGUUGCAUGGCGUCGAACAACCAACUCUUGACUUGGCAAUCCGAUGCAUGCCAUUUAUUAAAUGUGGGAUCUGUGUCUGUAGGUUGGGCAAUAUCACCGGUCAAGUGGCCAUGUUUUUCUCGCCCAGCUAUCUUCAUCUCUAUGAUUUGAUGCCAUAGAGAAUAAUUAUUCUCAUCCGAUUUGAUUCCUGCGGAGAAGUUGGAGGUGUCACUCUGUAAAGUGACGAUUUGUGUGGUAGUUUUGGAGCCUCCCGACACCAAGGAUUGAUUGGUGUUUGCUGACCCGUCAUCGUUGGCCAUGAUAUUGGCUGACAACCAAUGAAAAAAGGACAAAAAAGAAAUAUCAAGUUGAGGAAAAGCAAGUGAACGGUGGACAAAGGCAAUAAGAAAUAUUGGGUUGAAAGGGAAAAAAAGAACAAGGGGAACGGUUUGAAUGGGUCUGUGAGUGGAUCUGUGAGUGGAAAGUGAUUUGCAAUAUUGCAAAACGUGAUUUGACUAGAGGAAAGGUUUGAAUGGGUUUGUAAGAUGGAAUAUGGGUGGUAUUGGUGCUGGGUUUGUGAGAUGGAAUAUUGCUUUUGGUGCUGGUGCUGGUGCUGCGUACUAGAUGGAAUAUUGCAAAACAGUGAUUUGAGAUGGAAUAUGUGACAGGACCCACCCCGGAAUUUCCACAAAACCGGGGCGAAUCCAGUCUUUGUUCCGACAUCACCCCGAUGUCGGGCCCACUUACUAGAAACCGAGACUUCCUGCCGAAAUUUCGGCAGAGUCUCCCUUAUGAAUUGGACAAACCAACAAAAUUCAACCUGCAUAAAAAUAUAGAAUAAUCCCAACCAGCAGCAUGCUUUACAGCGAAUAAACAGUUUACAACAAAAUGGCCUCCGGCCUCACAAUUCAGACCCUAACAGGGCGAUAACAGAGCAUGUCUAAGAACUUCAAUUUCAACAAAACAGAGUACAAAGGAAAUAACAGGAAGAAAGAGUCCUACGAUGACUCAAGGCUCAAAAGCUCACGAUCCGGCUCUGCUGCGGAGCUCAGUCAACUACUGGCUGGGGGGCGCAAAACAGAAAAUUGUGAGUGGACAAAAAUAAAUUCAGUUCGGUGCAAACCAACGUAAUAUAACCCCACCGUUUAGAAAACCAUGCAAGAAAUACCAUGCAUCUCAAAACCGUCAUACACAAGUAUAUAUAUAUAUAUAUAUAUCAAAACAAAUCAAUACCAAAUGCCAAGUCCAAAAUUCAUAAAGAACACUUUACAAAACCCACCAUCCAAAAACUUAUAAAUCCCGCAACCAAACUCUCGAAAGCGUACCCAUUGGCACGACCGGCAAGGAAGUAUCCACACCGAGAAACAAGAAUGAAUGAAUAGAUAUAUAAUUAUAUAAUAUAAGAGAUAUAUGUAUAUAUAGUAUAAAUAUAACCAUCACCUAGUUGUACCGGGGAAACAAUCCAACCGGGGGAUUGUUUGACUAGUCACCCUGGCAGAGUCCUCGUGAUGAGUCCUCAAUCCACCAUGUGACUAGGGAACGAGCCGUUUAACUGAGGGACCAACUCUCAGCCAGAACGUACAGUCGAUAACCUCAAAACCCGUACGUCUGUGAACAGUCCUACGCGUGCAGACUACCCAAUUAAGGGUCUACAGCAACAUCCCGUCAAGGAUGCCCCGGGUCCCGACAAUUCCAAGUAUCUCAAGUCUCCGUAUCCAAGUUCCACAUCCGGGGAGGUACAUAGGGUAGUGCUUACCGCACACCAAACUGACAUUCUAUACUCACCACUUUCCACAAUCUCAUCUCAACAACCCAAGUACCUCACACAUAACCAAAUAUAUAUAUAUAAAUCCCCAAAAUCCAUAUAUUCAUACUCAAGAUACUCAAAUACGUCAAAACCCAAAAUAUAUUUUCAGUGCCUCAUAAAAAUAUCACUUUCAACAAUUUCAUAAAUAAUAUAUUCAAAAUACCAUUUAAAACAUCAUGCAUAAUAUUUCCCAAAAUCCAUAUAUAAAAUAUACUUUCAAUACCCAAUUAUACCAAACCCACAAUAUUUUACCAAAGCGCUUAUAAAAACAUCAAGCUCAACUCAUGAAUAUAAUAUAUUCAAUAAAUCAUUAAAAACAUUAUGCACAAAUGUUUCAUCAAUAAAACCAUGCAUAAGAUUUGAAAACAAGAUCCACUCACAAGUAGUCCCACGCUGCUUGACCCUGAGAGGGUCCCGCCUGCUGCGUAUGCGUGGUCGGAGUACCUCACCCGUCUGAAAUAGUGAUCGGAGGAGAGAGAACGGGCGACUGGAAGUUCAGACGAGAAUCGGCCUGAAAUCUGUGUUUUUCGGCGACGAGGAGGCGGCUGGCGGCUGGAGAUGGGUCGGGGAACGUCGGCGAGGUCUGGCCGGUUGUUUUGGGUCCGGUCUCGGGGCUGGCCGUGGCCUGUGGCGGCGGCUCCGCGUCUGCAAAUCGGAGAAGGAGGAAGAGGGACGCGGGAGAGAGAGAGAAUCGGGAGAAAGAGAGAGAAAGAGAGAUAAAACUGAAAAAUCUGAUUUUUACUCUAUCCCUUUUCGAAAUAUUUACAAGUUUGCCACUGACACUAUUUUGCCCGUAACUUUUUCGUUACAACUCCGAUUCAAGCCUACCGCGUGUCUACGAAUUCGUCUCAGUACCACCUACCCAGAAAUACCAGUUACUGCCCCAAACACUUUUUGGGCAAGAAAAUGACCAAUUUACCCCUACCCUGAGGGUAAAUUCGUAAAUUCACUUAAAUAAUUUAAAAUAGGAAUUAAAUUUAGAGUCGGGGUGUUGCAAUAUGGGCUGGUGCUGGGUCUGUAUGACGGCUGUUGCUGCGGAAGCGAUUAGGGUUAGGGCAAGAGACAGUCAAGAUUGACUGCUCUGAUACCAUAUCAGAUUGGUCAAAAAAUAAUACUUCAUUUAUCUUAAUAUAUAACAAAUAGGAAGGUUAUAUAUACAGAGCCUAGAAAACUAUUCUAGGAAAGUAAUUAUGUUCCUAUAAUCUUGCAUAAUUAAAUAGUUGACUUACACUAAUUAGGAAUGUACAGCUCAUUGACAUGUUCAGGCUCUACUUCAAGGGUUUGGUGAGCGACGCAAUGGUUGGAAAUGAGAGAAUGGUGCUGGCUGGGGUUGGGGUUGCUCUAUGCGACUCCAGGGAUAAUUUGGUGUUCGAGGUUUGGAAACCCCUGAUUGGGAAUGGGAUGAGCAAGAAUGGUGCCCUGUUGAAAGCCUUGAUUGAAGGACUUAAUGCUGCUCUUGCUCUGGACUUGAAGCGCAUCACCUUUUUCUGUGAGAAUUUUCCCAUUUUUUUAGUUUGUGAGUUGCUAUCUCUUCUCUGUCUCGUUUCAGUCUAUUGAUGAAAAUUAAUUAGGCUAAUUGUGGGUUUUGCAUUUUAAUAUAACGACAUAUAUGGUUAUGGACGCUGUGGUUUACACUGACCAUGAAAGAGACUCUUGUGAAAGAGGUCUAAAGGAAUGGAACUUAUUAUUAUAUUAGUGUAUACGAUGUUGUAGGUUUUGUUAAUUAAUAUUUUUUUUCUUGGAACAAUAAUGAACUUUCAAUUUUCAGAUAUACUUCAUGAAAUUUGAUAGGGCAAAUCGUAUAUCAUCCAUUGUGGACAAAGAGAUGCAUUCGCUUUGAGAAAUUUUACUUGUGUCUUCUCAACAUUUGCUAAAUUAGUUUGCUAUCUUGUAUUUAAAUUGACCAUUAGAGAAAGUCUUGUGAACAAGGUCUAAAAUAAUGGAGUUUAUUAUGACAUUUAUGUGUGCAAUGUUGUAGUAUUUGUGUUGAAACCAAGAAUAUUGGAUGUACUAGUCACUGUGCUACGGUCUAUUUACACCCAUGAAUAGAGCUUGUUGAAUUUCUGACAUUAUAUUUUAUGUAUGAAGGUUAAUGGUAAAUGGCAAGCAAAGAACUACCCAAGAGCAAGAGAACUCAAAAUUGGACUUUCGAAAACUGCAUUGCAGUUCAGAAAUUGCAUUGCAGUUUUUAUUUAAUUACAAUUGAAUUUUUGCUCUUUCUUUGGUCUUCAACCUCACGAAUUUGAAGAGUAGAGGCUACCCAAAUGAGGAAUUGGGGAAAGAGAAAAGUAGAACUACCCAAGAGCAAGAUAACUCAAAAUUAGACUUUUGGAAACUGCAUUGUGGAUUUAGAAACUGCAUUGCAGUUUUAGAAACAGCAUUACAGUUUUCUUUUAAUUACAAUUUGAUUUUUAUUCUUUUCUUGGCCUUCAACCUCAUCAAUUUGAAGAGUAGAGGCUACCCAAAUGAGGAAUUGAGUGGGCAAGAGAAGAUUAGAACUACCCAAGAGCAAGGGAACUCAAAAUUGGUCUUUUGGAAACUGCAUUGCAGUUUUCAUUUAAUUACAAUUUGAUUUUUUGUUCUUUCCUUGGCCUUCAACCUCACCAAUUUAAUUACAAUUUGAUUUGUGUUCUUUCCUUGUUUUUUUUAAACAUAAUUGAUAUCUACCUUGUAUUUUUAUUGCAGUUUCUGUUUUUAUUUUCAGUUUUUGUGUGAAUAUGUGUUGAAAUGAUUUUUUUUUUUUUUUUUAAACUGUUGAUUGUUGUUAUAAAUAUUGUAUAACUGAAUAAAUAUUACAAAAUCAAGUUUGGUGUAGUGGUUUGUGAGUGAGCCUUCCUCCUUUGAGGGUCAAGGUUCAAGUCCCUUCAAUGACACAAAAUAUUUUUUUUAAAGGUGAAUAAAGGGCAAUGGAGUUGGUCCCCUACAGACGGUGGCAGGUGGUGGCCCGCAACGGUGGCUUGCAGCGGGAGUCCGGUGGUGGUGGCCGGCGAAGGGUGGCUGGAGGCGGGAGUCCGGUGGUGGGAGCCCGGCGGUGGUGGCCAACGAAGGGUUGCCGGAGGCGGUAGUCUGACGGUGGCCUAAGGCGGUGACGGCUGCGGUGGCCGGCGGUGGUGGCUAUAUAUGGACAUGUGGCAUAGUAUGCUUGCCUUAGAAGGAGUGGCAUUGUGUGCAAUUGCAAUUUUUUUUAAGGGAGCUUUAGGUGAUAUAUUGGGUGCAACCGAGUUGCAAGGCCAAGGACCAUUGAAUUACAAAAAUAAAGAUUUGACGGCGGCAACAAAAAACUUCAGUGAAGAAAAAAAACUUGGAGGAGGAGGAUUCGAGGGCAUCUACAGGGUAAAUUAUGUGCUAAAGAGCUCUAAAAUAAUUUAUGUCAGUUCAGUUUAGCACGGUCGAAUAUGGUGUACUCUUUUUUUACAUAAAUAAAGUUUUAAAAAACUGGGAAAAUUGCAUUGUCAAGCUUUUGAUUAUCCAUGCAUAAUGUUCAUUUACAAUUACAUGGUUGGUCAGGGUACUCUAAACAAUGGAAAAGUACGUAGUUGCAGUUAAAAAACUAGCAAUUCUCCAAUCUGACAGGGCAAAGGCGAAUUUCGUAAACGAGGUGAAGCUGAUAUGUAACGUUCAUCACCGGAAUCUCAUUCUUCUUGGAUGUUGUAGCAAAGGACCGUAAUUGCUUCUCAUAUAUGAAUACAUGGCAAACAACAGCCUCUACAGAUUCAUAUUUGGUAAUAAUUUUCGGCUUUUCAGCUCAGCUACCUCUAAAUGCAUGCCUCUCAACUGGAAACAACUAAAUGACAUAAUCCUGGGUACAGCGGGGUCUGGCCUAUUUACAUGAGAAGUUUCAUGAGAUGUAAAAACCAGCAAUGUUAUUUUGGAUGAUAAUUUCCAGCCACCAGAUCUGCCGGAACAUUGUAAGUUAAAGUACUUUCCCACAGGCAUAACCCCUGAUUGAGAUCUAUAUGAUCAUUACUCUUCUACAAUAUUUAUACCGAUAUUGUGUUUUGCCCUACUUAUCUUUCUAUCCGCACACAAAAAGUGUUAUGAAUCUACUACAUACAUCUUGUGUAGCUUCUCACAUUCCAGGAUCGACUCUGCCGUAGCACGAUAUUGUCCGUUUUGGGCCCCCUUCUCUGCCCUCACGGUUUUAUUUCUGAAAACUCACGAGCAACUUUUCAGUGGACCUCCUAUCCUGGGAUUGCUCUAACCCCCAACUCGCUUAACUUCGAAGUUCCCAUGACUCCGAAGCCAGUGAACUCCCAAAAAACCUCGUACUAGAUAGAAGCAGGCAUGUAUAUAUAAGGCACAUCAUCCUCUCUCCGUUGAUCGAUAUGGGAUAUUACAUAGCCGAAGAGGAGUACAUCACCAUCAUGGUGAUGCUCUAUAGUGUUUCUCUCUGUGGAAGUGUUUCUCACUUCUGUUUUAGCCUAUCUGAGCAAUGGUGCUCACGGCACCUCCUACCAAGCCUUCUUUAAAUAACCAAAGAAUUUGGUCCAACAGACACAAAACAUUAAUGCACUGAAAAAGCACAACCACCAGCAUUGGAAAAGAAGCCAGCCGCUCCUCUUUCUCAUGUCCUUGGUGCAGCACAGUGGGGCACACCUGCCCACACAUCUCCUGCUGCCAACGAAGUCCCUCUUUAUGCAUAGCUCAAGUUUGGCUUCUCAAAGAACCCAAGAGCCAAAAGUAAUAGCAAUAAUACAAAGCCUAUUCUACCUCUCUUUUUCUCUCUCUCUCUCAUGAAAAACAUCUCUCAUGAAAAACAAAUGUUAGCUUGUUUGAUGCAUUCAUUUCAUUGUUUUAAGUUUUAGAAAAGUGACACAUACCAUGAGAAAGUGAAAGAAUGUCCAAAAGAUAAAGUUAGAGAGAAAUUGCUAUCAAAGCUUUUUCACAAAGUUAGGACACACAUGCCCACCAAGUUGGAUUCCAAUUGCCUUAGGUGUAGAUCACCCAAGUGCUGGAACCCACUCCAUCUGUGUCUCCAGCCUUUUAACAAAGAUGGCAUGUGCCGUCGUUUCCCCAUUUGAAAAACCCAAGGCAUGACAAAUAAAUGAAGAAAGCUAGCAAACAAACAAUGAUAAAGUAGCCCUUACACAAUUAACAAUACAAUUUGGGCCAAUUUUCAACAGUGAAGGCAUCUUAUUACGGUGGGAUCAUUUGCAUCCUCGGAGCCUUUCUUUUUCGAAAUAAGGAUAGAUUUUAAUCAUUAAACUAGGAAUGUAAACGCUAGAUCUGAAAGCAGAUUCAAGGAUUUCCGUAAAAAUCAUAAUCAACAUUACGUAGUUACAAACAUACAAAAUCCAUCCACAAUUCGUACAGAUACAGCAGAAUUACACGGAGUUUCUGGCUAUGCUUCUUUUUCUUUUAUUCUCUUAUUCGUUUAUGGAAUUCCAUAUAUUACUUGGAAGCAGCUGACCUGGUAAAGGGUGCCUAGAAUGAUACUCGAAUAUCAAGCAAUGUCAUCAACUGAGAAAUAAGCUCUGGUUGGCCAUGCCACGCUGCUGCGGUAACCAGAUUUCCAUCAGUGACACAACGAUCUAUUGGAUCCGCUUCCACAAACGUCCCCCCUGACGAAACCACACGAGCCUUAAUCCCUGGGUAUCCAGUACAUUUCUUCCCCUGAAAUAUAGCCAAUUGAACCAAUUAUAUGACAUGCUAAAAAGUGCCUAAUCCGUUAAUAAGUACAUUAACCACUAAUCAAAAGAAACAGAAAAAAUAUCAUCUCCUUUGCGAUUUUAAAGAGUACUCACCUCCCUCUUCCCCAUAGUUAUUUACAAUUGAGAGGUUAAUAGGUCACAGCAGAUCAGCUCAACAGAACCAAAAUACAAAGCACUACCACUAACUAUGUUUUUUUCUUUAAGAACCAUACCUGCAGAACACCAGCAGCAACUAAAAUUUCCAGGCCAUGGCAGAUGGAUGCAACUGGUUUCCUGGCUUCCAUAAAUUUUUUCACUAGUACAAUAACAUCCUCCUUUAGUGCCAAAAACUCUGGAGCUUUACCUCCAGGGAGUACAAGAGCGUCAUAACUUGAGGCAUCUAUGGAUUCAAAGUCAGCUGUUAAAACAAAAUUAUGUCCCCGGAUCUCACUGUAGGUUUGGCCCCCUUCAAGAUCACGGAUAGCAGUUGGGCAGGUAUCACCGGCUUUCUUCUUGGGGCAAACCACAUCAACAUGGCAUCCUAGAACUUUGAGGGUCUGAUAAGGCACAGUUACCUCAUAAUCUUCCGCGUAGUUCUACAAAUAUUGGGAAGGGGAGCAAUUAAAUGAUGAUGAUUAGUAACUAACAGUUUAAUCAUUGGCUAUAUUUUGUCCCAUAUUUGUCAUUGCAAUAUAAAAGAAACAGAAAAGAAAGCUUACUCCAAUGAUGAUGAGGACCCUUCUCUCUGAAGCACAUAUUUUGCCUCCCAGUGCCUUGAGAAAAAGCCCAAUGAACUCAGGAUUGCCAUAAUAUGUGACCCCAGUAAUUAAAUUAUCAUCAGCAACACACACUGACAAUGUAUCGGGUUCUACCCAGUGAGCACCAGCAGCAACCAAUCCAGGUUUCAUAGUUGAAACCGCUGUGCACUUGCGACCUUUAACAGCGGCUGCAGCUGCUAAGACCAACUGCCCAUGGCAAAUAGCAGCAAUUGGCUUUCUGGAGUCGGAAAAUUUUCUCACCAAUUCUACAACCGAUGCAUUCAUAGCAAG
This 25867-nucleotide long non-coding RNA is filed under the name Prunus persica (peach). Its description in RNAcentral is "long non-coding RNA (PPER_LNC002899)". Lineage: Eukaryota; Viridiplantae; Streptophyta; Magnoliopsida; Rosales; Rosaceae. The record is from RNAcentral.